AAACAAGUCGCAGGUCAUCAGCUCUCUGGAAUUCUUAGGAACAGGAUUCAUCACUCGGUGUUUGAUGUGAAGUCCCUUCAGCUCUCCAAGCCCCAGUGUCCUCGUGAAUCAAGCGGAGAUCAUCUUAAAGCCCUCAACAGGGACAAGUGUGAAGGAACCAGUAAGAGAAUGCUGAGAUCAGAAGCCUGGAUCCUGCCCAGCCCCAUCCCCGAUGGUCUCAUGCCAACCGUCAGGACCCAACGUUAUCCAGAGACUGGGCUCUAACCACAGCCUGGACUCCUCUAACCCUGGGCCCAGCCACAACCACUCUAGGACUUCUGCUUUGGAAAGCAGAAAGCUCAAGCCCCCGAAAAUAAAAGUCCUGGAAAUGUUCCCAGUUAGCAGACACUAGGUCUCCCCUAGUGACACAGAGAGAAG
RNAcentral lists this long non-coding RNA (417 nucleotides) under Homo sapiens (human). RNAcentral describes it as "HSALNT0189916". The record is from RNAcentral. Lineage: Eukaryota; Metazoa; Chordata; Mammalia; Primates; Hominidae.